Molecule: ribosomal RNA, 496 nt
Filed under: uncultured bacterium
Lineage: Bacteria
Description: partial 16S ribosomal RNA
Rfam family: Bacterial small subunit ribosomal RNA
Source: RNAcentral
ACGAACGCUGGCGGCGUGCCUAAUCCCUGCAAGUAGAACGCUGAAGAGAGGAGCUUGCUCUUCUUGGAUGAGUUGCGAACGGGUGAGUAACGCGUAGGUAACCUGCCUUGUAGCGGGGGAUAACUAUUGGAAACGAUAGCUAAUACCGCAUAACAAUGGAUGACACAUGUCAUUUAUUUGAAAGGGGCAAUUGCUCCACUACAAGAUGGACCUGCGUUGUAUUAGCUAGUAGGUGAGGUAAUGGCUCACCUAGGCGACGAUACAUAGCCGACCUGAGAGGGUGAUCGGCCACGCUGGGACGGAGACACGGCCCAGAAUCCUGCGGGAGGCAGCAGUAGGGGAUUUUUGGCAAUGGGGGCAAUCGUGAACGAGGAACGCCGCGUGAGUGAAGAAGGUUGUCGGAUCGUAAAGAUCUGUUGUAAGUCAAGAACGGGUGUGAGAGUGGAAAGUUCACACUGUGACGGUAGCUAACCAGAAAGGGACGGCUAACUACGUG